ACAGAGGGUGCAAGCGUUAAUCGGAUUUACUGGGCGUAAAGCGCGCGUAGGUGGCCAAUUAAGUCAAAUGUGAAAUCCCCGAGCUUAACUUGGGAAUUGCAUUCGAUACUGGUUGGCUAGAGUAUGGGAGAGGAUGGUAGAAUUCCAGGUGUAGCGGUGAAAUGCGUAGAGAUCUGGAGGAAUACCGAUGGCGAAGGCAGCCAUCUGGCCUAAUACUGACACUGAGGUGCGAAAGCAUGGGGAGCAAACAGG
Molecule: ribosomal RNA, 252 nt
Filed under: uncultured bacterium
Lineage: Bacteria
Description: partial 16S ribosomal RNA
Rfam family: Bacterial small subunit ribosomal RNA
Source: RNAcentral